This 433-nucleotide ribosomal RNA is filed under the name uncultured bacterium. RNAcentral describes it as "partial 16S ribosomal RNA". It matches the Rfam family "Bacterial small subunit ribosomal RNA", at positions 29 to 507 of the family's 1533-position model. The record is from RNAcentral.
AGCGAACGCUGGCGGCAGGCCUAACACAUGCAAGUCGAACGAAAACUUCGGGCUUAGGGGCGGACGGGGGAGUACCACGGGGGAACGAGCCUUUGGGUUCGGAAUACCUCAGGGUAAGUUAUGCUAAUACCGAUGGUGCUCUUCGGGGGUAAGAUCUAUCGCUAUUUGAGCGGCCCGCGUCUGAUUAGCUGGUUGGGGAGGUAAUGGCUCAUCAAGGGGUCGAUGAGUAGCUGGUCGGAGAGGAUGACCAGCCACACUGGGACUGAGACACGGCCCAGACUCCUACGCGAGGGAGCAGUGGGGAGUCUUGCGGAAUGAGCGAAAGCCUGGCGCAGCCAUGCCGCGUGAAUGGUGAAGGUCUUAGGAUUGUACAAUUCUUUCAGCGGGGACGAUAAUGACGGUACCGGGAGAAGAAGCCCCGGCUAACUUCGUG